Molecule: long non-coding RNA, 206 nt
Filed under: Lathyrus oleraceus (garden pea)
Lineage: Eukaryota; Viridiplantae; Streptophyta; Magnoliopsida; Fabales; Fabaceae
Description: Pisum sativum (pea) long non-coding RNA (PSAT_LNC003253)
Source: RNAcentral
UUAUGUCAUAAAGUUUGCUAUCUCUUGGUUAGAUCUUUACUCCCUAGCUUUUACUUCAUGCUUUAGGAUAGUCUCUUCUUCUUCGCUCCUUCUUUAAUUUUCAAAUCUUCUCUUCUUUUUUUUUUUUAAAACCUUCUUGUUUUUAAACUUGAACCAAUUUCCCAAUAAAUCUUGACUUUUGUCAAGUGAUUUUCAAAACAUUUUUU